GUAUAUUUUUAACAGAGUGCCUUCAAAGUUUGUUCCUAGCACUCCAUAUGAAUUAUGGAAUAAAAGUCUAGUCUUAAACAUCUUAAGAUAUGGAGCUAUCCUGCUUAUGUCAGAAAUAUUUUUGGUCAUAAGUUAAGUAUAAGGUUAGACAAAUAUAUAUUUGUGGGAUAUCCUAGAAAAACUAAAAGAUAUUAUUUCUACCACCCUA
RNAcentral lists this long non-coding RNA (208 nucleotides) under Elaeis guineensis (African oil palm). RNAcentral's name for it is "long non-coding RNA (EGUI_LNC039373)". The record is from RNAcentral. Lineage: Eukaryota; Viridiplantae; Streptophyta; Magnoliopsida; Arecales; Arecaceae.